GAGAUGCGGAUUUUUGCUGCCGAAAAGAUACUCUUGCUCCCCACCCCCUCCUUUCUUUUUGACAGUCAGUUAAUAAAGACUCAACAAUAAGCAGCUGCCAGUGAUGUCAUUUGGGACUUUGUCCACGGAGCUUGUAUUUACAAGCUCGGAGCAACCACGGAGCCGCAGCCGCCGGGGGAAGCGGAGUCUCCGCAAACUUGCUCUGAAUUCGCUGCAGGAACUUUGUGGCUGCUUUGCUUGGGCUGUUCUGGAAAACUGCGCUUGUUCUCUGAGCCCGGCCUUUUCAUGCUUCACAAAUAAACAGAGGAUAAACUCGAGAGGAAAUGUGGAGCUGGGGAGAGUGGUUGCAGUUCCUGUGUUUGUCUCCAGGACUGUGAUAUGUGUUGACUGCAGAGCUGACUACAAUGACCCAGGCAACAGAAGGGGGACUCUCAUAAACCACAAAGGAAAAUAAAUAACCUCACCCAUGGAGGGAAAGAGACAGUUUGAGAAAAGGGACUUUGGAAAAAGGCUCUCUCUAGAUAGCAGUCUCAUGGUAAGUACUGGAUAUUCAUUUACCGCUAUGUGUUUUGGCUUAAAAUGCAUUAUUCUUUGAUGCUGAUUUCCUAAACUCUGUGCUUUUGAAACCCCUAUUCCAGUUACCCCCUUAGCAAUAUCCCCUGAGAUUUUGUUUUGCUCAUGUUUUAUAAGGUCAAAAGCUAGAACAUUAUGGGAAUGUUUGUAUAGUGUCCUAAUAAGUAAAUGUCAUAAUCUCUCAGCAUUAUGUAUGAUUACAUUAAUUCCAACUGAAGUAAGCUUAAACCCACACAAAAACACUACUGCAUGGCUGAUGCCAAAUGCCAGGCCGAUACACAGUUGUUCUAGCACCCAUUUAUCUUAAGGCUGGGGGUCCGUUGAACAAGACUUCGGCAGAAUUUCAGAUAUUGAAGAAUGAAGAAAAUCUCUGCCAUCUUAGGUAUGUAAAUCCAUCCUGUGGUCCAUAAACUUUCUUUCUGAGUUGAAUGCUGAUGGGCGUCAUUCUUAACAACUUGGUUGGGUUUGCUUUCCUGUAUGAGAACCUGGCGAGUCCAAGGAAAUAGAUGAAGUCACUGAUUUUUUUUUUCUUUCUUUAUAUAUGUAUAUAUUUUUAGGGUUGCACCUGUGGCAUGUCGAAGUUUCUAGGCUAGGAGUCAAAUCAGAGCUACAGCUGCCAGCCUACACCACAGCCACAGCAACACCAGAUCUGAGUCGCAUCUGCGACCUACACCACAGCUCAUGGCAACACCAGAUCCUUAACCCACUGAGUGAGGCCAGGAUUGAAUCCACAUCCUCAUGGAUACUAGUCAGGUUUGUCACUGCUGAGCCACAACAGGAACUCCUUCAAGUCCCUGAUUUCUGAAGGUGGGCCCUUCCUUCCAGUCCAAGCUAAGAUACUGGAUAUUGACAUCACCUAUUCAAUGAUGCCUCUGAACAAAGUAAGAAAUCAAAUGAAGUGAGUCACUCCUUUCUCUCUUGGUCACCUACUCAAGAAGAAAUGGAUGUUGGAUGUUGUUUAUGGAUGCGCUUUUUUCAUUUGUGUACUUGUAGCCCCUGGCCCAGAGUUGUGAUUACAGUAGUUGUCCAAUAAAAUAUUUGCUGAAUUGAUUUAUCAGUUGCCCUUUUCCAAUUCUGCUGCUGUAGGUCUGGCUCUGUCAGGGUCUAAAUGAGCUAUUUACUCCAUGACUGCUGAGGUUUCCCAUCUCAAGCUCUUCACAGAUGGGAGUUUCUGGUAACUGAAAAAAGAAUUGCAUUAAAAUGCUGUGUCCAGGUCUUCUCUUGUUAUUAGAGUCAACUUCUGUGUCUCUGUGAGCUCUGCCUCUGCAUUCCUUCAGAGGCUGAGAACUCUUAGAGGAUUUUAAAUUCUUCUCCCAGUGGAUAUGCCCUCUUUUCAUCUCUGAGGUCUAUCUCUUCAGGUAGAGUGUGGUGAAAAUUGUGUGUGUGUGUGUGUGUGUGUGUGUGUGUGUGUGUGUUUAUAUGUCUAUACCCUUUGCAAUCUCUAGGGAAUCUUAGGAUAAAAGGAUAAUUUCUCAGCCUCUCCUUUUUUUCUUUACUAAGGAAAACACUUCUUACAAAUCAACCCACCAAUAGGGUCUGUCAUAUGUCUCACCAGAUGCUCACGUAGUAUAAUAGGAGCAGCACAGGAAAGUUUCUCUGAACCCCAAAGUAUCAUCCUUGCUGAUUAAUCCCUAAAACCUAAAUUCUGUCUUGGGGGCCAGAGAAAAUACAAAGACCCUGAAAAGCAAGCAUGCUAAGCUAUUGUCUUUCAAUCAUUCACAGUAGCACUCAUUAAUAGAAGGUCUUGGAUCAUUUCCAGAUGUCAGCCAGAUGAGCAGAAUUUCCUUGAGGCAGUUGGUAAACAAAAGAUUGCAGAGCACAGAGGGCUGGCCUGCAGUGCUGUGCUGGGGUGGGGGGAGAGGAGGGGAAGCAGAUUAUCAAGAGGGCACUGGGUAUCUGAAAAUCUGAGGAGUUGCAAUGAAAUUUUUGCCCUCUUUUAAAUUUUCCUUAGGGACAGGCUUGACUGUGAACAUAAAGCUCGUUGUAUUACCUGUGCUGGCUGAAAACCCCAAACCAAACUUGUACUCCCAUUGGCUUGCAGCUCUACCCUGUGUAUUGUGGGGGCUGUGAAUCUGUUUCUUGGCUGACAGCAUUAAAGAAUGUUGAGAAAAUGAGAGCUUUUUGCUUGGUACCACCUAAGAAAUGUUAUCCUGUUAAAUCUCCCUAAAUGAUGCUUAGGAGAGUUUUUAUACUAGCGAAAUGUCUUCCUUGUUUCCUAGAAGCAGACUGAGGAUGUUUAUUGGGAGAAUCCUGAAAACGAAAAUGCUCUUGCAUGACUGUGUGGCCCUGUGUACGAGGAUGCUUAGACGCCACUCAUCAUUAUACAGCUUAGGACAUGUGACUCAUUUUGCCUUCUAUUUUUACUGAUAGGUUCUUUCCUCAUAUAGAUGCUGCUCCUGGGACAGUGGCAGGAACAGGGUUCUUGUCAAGUUGGUUCUGAGGGUGUGAUACCCACUGAAAGGCCCUUAAAGUGAAUUUUAUUGUGAUUGUCAGAGAGACUGACAGGGAGGAGAUGAAAGCUAACCGGCCUGUAAAGGACUUGAACCCAAUGCUGCACCCUCCUCUUUGGCUCCAGACCGAAACCACACAAAUAACUAGGCAAGAAGCAUACAAGGAUGAUUCUAGGACAAGGUUGCUGGGAAAUGUAAGAAAAAAAAAAA
Molecule: long non-coding RNA, 3233 nt
Filed under: Sus scrofa (pig)
Lineage: Eukaryota; Metazoa; Chordata; Mammalia; Artiodactyla; Suidae
Description: lncRNA (ENSSSCG00055030620.1)
Source: RNAcentral